This is a long non-coding RNA of Ictidomys tridecemlineatus (thirteen-lined ground squirrel), 1888 nucleotides long. The record is from Ensembl. Lineage: Eukaryota; Metazoa; Chordata; Mammalia; Rodentia; Sciuridae.
GGUUGCUUUAAAUCUUGACUUCCUCAAUCGACUCUCCAAUUCCUCUAUCUCCCUUUCCAGUUCCUCCCCCUCCUCGGAGAAAGAACUAAGAUCCUCAUCACCCUUUUCUGAAGCAGGGACCUGAAGGCGCCUCUUUGCUUUACCAUUUAAGUCUUGCAGGGGACCUUCGUCCUUCAGAGACGCAGCCAUCUGCUCUUCCUGAACCUCAGUGAGGGCUUGCUCGCACUCGGCAAGCUGUUCCUUAAUCUUUACUUUGUCAGUUAAAAGAGCAUGCUUUACCAAUCUCCAUAGAGAGAAAGUAGCAAUUGGGACUCUAUCCGGAUCCUGGUCUCUCAACAACUUUUGGAGGUCCUGUUUCACCAAAUCCCAAUCGCUGUUAUGGAGAAAGCCUCCUGUCAGAAACCAAGGACAAGCCCGGGCUAUAGUUUCAACGAAUUCGGUUGCUGUCUUGGUUUUAAUUCCUGUCCCUUGUUUGUUUAACAGCUCUUUAACCUCGUUGGCCAGACGAAGUUUCGCUGUUGAGUUACCCAUGUUAACGGAUAUGCUGAAGUGUCAAGAGUCAUUCGUGGGCUGUGUGGACUACAUCACAAUCACAGCCUAAUGAAUAGGAAAAUCCAGUGUCUGGGAACUACCAGUGGACAUUUCCUCUGAUUGACUGCCCAGACACAUUGUGAGUCCUAUCCAAGCUCUGCCAAAGGUCCCACACAGCACUGGAGAUGGGGUGACCUGCCAAGAUGCCAAUCAACCUGCUGACUGCAAGACAUCAUGGAGCAAGACUCCACUCCUGAAACCUUAUCCUUGCCUUUGAUGUACCCCCUUAAAUAAACCAUGGGAGCCAUUUUCUAAUCAUCUAGCUCCAGCUCCUAUGUGGACUGGACCUAUCAGGGCUCCAUCUUUAAAAUUGUCUUUUCUGACUUUGUCUUUUGUUUUUCACUAAUUAUUCUAGACUUUAAUUUCUUAGGUGGGUUACACGAUCCUGAGCGGGGAGAAGAACCCCCCUAAGGAGACACUAGAUGCCUCCAGAUACUGAACCCUUGUUACUUUCAUACUAAAAUGAUAGAAUAUUUGGUUGAUCUAGGUACCAAAUUUCUACUUACAUUAUAAGAAGUAAAUAAAUAAGAAUUUCAUUGUUAUGCAUUCUCUUGUGGGCAAUUGCAAACUUUAUGAAAAUAUAAUGUUUUGUUUUAUUUUUUUUGCUACCAAAGAUAGAAAGCCUAUCAGAAUGUCUGGCAUAUAAUUAUUUUUAACAUCUUUAUUGAGUUAAAAACUAUAGUUUGAUACAUUUUGAUAUAUAUAGAAACUUGAGAAAUCAUCACCAAAAUAUGGAUAAUAAAAAUAUCCACAUCCUCAAAAUAGUCCUUAUGCCCCUUUAUCAAACCUCCUACCUGUUCCCCCACCUUAUUCCCAUACAAUCACUGACCUAUUUUCUGUUACUAUAGAUUCACUUGUAUUUUCCAGAAUUUUAUAUAAGUGGAAUCAUACAAUAUGAUUUGUUUUCUGUCCGCAGCUCCAUAGUUUUCCUCAACAGACCAAAAGAUUCCCUAUAGUUUCUGAUUUAUUAUUUGCUUUCCUGCAAACAGACAUUUAUCUGAGCCUGCACUCAUAGUGUGGGAAAUACCCCCCAAAUAAAAAUAAUGCCUCAAAGGAACUGAGUAGCUUCAGUUCCAGGAACAUCCAGGAACAGACAAGAACAUCUCAUUAAAUUUUCUAAAAAAAAAUUUACGUGAGUAACAGAAUUACUUAGGUUCAGGGGUCAAAGAGAUGUUUCAAAUUGCCAGUGUUUUCUAAUUCUUAGACAAUGACUCAUUAAAGGGCCUUGAAAUUAAUGUAGGGUUCUCUCUGUGUUAAAAAUAACAAAGUUGAAAAUGCCAGGAUGCAUUUUACUUUG